RNAcentral lists this ribosomal RNA (911 nucleotides) under uncultured archaeon. RNAcentral describes it as "bacterial SSU rRNA". It matches the Rfam family "Archaeal small subunit ribosomal RNA", at positions 1 to 921 of the family's 1478-position model. The record is from RNAcentral.
UUCCGGUUGAUCCUGCCGGAAGCCAUUGCUAUCAGGGUUUGACUAAGCCAUGCGAGUCGAGAGGUGUAAGACCUCGGCAUACUGCUCAGUAACACGUGGUUAACCUGCCCUAAGGUGGAGAAUACUCCCGGGAAACUGGGGCUAAUGCUCCAUAGUGGAUAUGUCCUGGAAUGGUAUAUCCUCGAAAGAUCCGUCGCCUUAGGAUGGGACUGCGUCCGAUUAGGUUGUUGGCGGGGUAACGGCCCACCAAGCCAUUGAUCGGUACGGGUUGUGGGAGCAAGAUCCCGGAGAUGGAUUCUGAGACAUGAAUCCAGGCCCUACGGGGCGCAGCAGGCGCGCAAACUUUACAAUGCGAGCAAUCGUGAUAAGGAAACCCUGAGUGCCUGUCGAUGCAGGCUGUUCAUAUAUCUAAAUCAUAUGUGAAGAAAGGGCAGGGCAAGACCGGUGCCAGCCGCCGCGGUAAUACCGGCUGCUCGAGUGAUGGCCACUAUUACUGGGUUUAAAGCGUCCGUAGCUUGACUGUUAGGUCUCUUGGGAAAUCUUCACGCUCAACGUGAAGGCGUCUAAGAGAUACCGGCAGUCUUGGAACUGGGAGAGGUAAACCGUACUUCGGGGGUAGGAGUGAAAUCUUGUAAUCCUCGAGGGACGACCUAUGGCGAAGGCAGUUUACCAGAACAGCUUCGACAGUGAGGGACGAAAGCUGGGGGAGCAAACGGGAUUAGAUACCCCGGUAGUCCCAGCCGUAAACAAUGUGCGUUAGGUGUGUCGGUAACCACGUGUUACUGAUGCGCCGAAGAGAAAUCGUGAAACGCACCACCUGGGAAGUACGGUCGCAAGGCUGAAACUUAAAGGAAUUGGCGGGGGAGCACCACAACAAGUGGAGCCUGCGGUUUAAUUGGAUUCAACGCCGG